GGUCGGUGCGCUGGCAUAGUUGUAGGUGAAGUGAGACGACUGGGACUCGUUAUGGCCGGGGUGGUGGUGGAUGGGGGAGGAGUCGGUGGAAUGGAUGUGGGAGUCGUCCUCAUCGUCAUCCUCGUCGGAGUCAUCGUCGGAAAAGUGGAUGUGCGAGCCAGAGUGGGAAUGACGGGCCUGUACGGGACCGGGACCACCACUGCUGCUUGCAGCUGUG
This 217-nucleotide unclassified non-coding RNA is filed under the name Hevea brasiliensis (rubber tree). Lineage: Eukaryota; Viridiplantae; Streptophyta; Magnoliopsida; Malpighiales; Euphorbiaceae. The record is from RNAcentral.